AAUUGAGAUUAGCUUGCUAAAGGAAAUUUCUUGUAACACUUAGUGGCGGACGGGUGAGUAACGCGUGAGGAACCUGCCUUACAGAGGGGGACAACAGUUGGAAACGACUGCUAAUACCGCAUGAUGUGGAGGGGAGACAUCUCCCUUUCACCAAAGGAGCAAUCCGCUGUAAGAUGGCCUCGCGUCUGAUUAGAUAGUUGGUGGGGUAACGGCCUACCAAGUCGACGAUCAGUAGCCGGACUGAGAGGUUGAUCGGCCACAUUGGGACUGAGACACGGCCCAGACUCCUACGGGAGGCAGCAGUGGGGGAUAUUGCACAAUGGAGGAAACUCUGAUGCAGCAACGCCGCGUGAGGGAAGAAGGUUUUCGGAUUGUAAACCUCUGUUUUUAGUGAAGAAACAAAUGACGGUAGCUAAAGAGGAAGCCACGGCUAACUACGUGCCAGCAGCCGCGGUAAUACGUAGGUGGCAAGCGUUGUCCGGAAUUACUGGGUGUAAAGGGUGCGCAGGCGGGAUUGCAAGUUGGAUGUGAAAUACCGGGGCUUAACCCCGGAGCUGCAUCCAAAA
This 566-nucleotide ribosomal RNA is filed under the name uncultured bacterium. RNAcentral's name for it is "bacterial SSU rRNA". It matches the Rfam family "Bacterial small subunit ribosomal RNA", at positions 64 to 632 of the family's 1533-position model. The record is from RNAcentral.